CCUUGAGGCCCACUCCCUUCUCCCUGAUCCAAUCGCUUGGCCCUGCCCCCGCAAGCCACUGAUUUAAAGUCAAAGAACCAAAAUGGGUGGAGCCGAAGAAGAAGCUGUGACUGAAACCCCGGAAAGUGGACCCUUCCAUUCCCGGUCUCCUCCGCCUCCAACACAUACUCCACCCGGACGUCCCCCAAAUGGACUGUCCCAGGCCCUAACCCGGAAGAUUUUGCAGAGAGCAAAGGCCAAGGGACCCAUCUCCUUGCCUCAAAGUUCCCAAUCCAGGAGAGGGCUGAAGAUGUCGGUAAUUGGACAGCAUUGAGGCAACGUCUGUGAAGAUACAAACUGGAAACCUCCUCCACUGCAAUGUCAGUUCCACCAAAGCAGGAACAUGGGACUUUUAGUUCCUUGAUGUCUCCCCAGUGCCUACAGCAGCGUCCAUCAUUUAUUAGGCACUCUUUAGGUGUUUGUUCAGUGAGUGACUCCUUUGACUCAGCAAUUCCACUUGUAAGAUUAUGUGCCAAAGAAACACACGUGUGCACAAGGAUGGUACGAACAAACUGGGCGGGGGGGGGGGAUACUCUAAAUGACCGCUUAUAGCCAAUGAUUUGCAGAGUAACAUUAAUGACUGGGGUUCAUGUUAUAUCACAGAUCUGGACAUGAUACAGAAUGUAUGUACCUGCAAGGGCGAGUGGGAGCGCCUUCUACAGGGAAAAACAGGUGGAAUGUGCACUUGGGCCGAAAAAGGACGCAACUCCAAGAGGCUAGUGCCUGAUCCCUGUUGAAGGAAUGGGGGCUGGGCUUUGCUUACCUCAGUUCUGACUCCAUAUCACUCUCAGGGCUGUCCCAGAUGAGUGGCCUUAGGAAGGACUGGCUCUGGCCUGGGAGAGAAUGAGCCAUCACUUUUAGCUUUAGUCAUUCAUUCACAUAUGCAAUGGGCUGACAUUUACUUUUAUUAUUUGAAUGAAGAUACAGUAAUAGGCUCAUCCAGAAUGACGUUGAGAAGGUAAGAAUCCCCAGAUCCUAAUGGUCUGUGGGGAGUCAGGGCUCAUGGGUCCACCUUCAUGGGGCCCAGAGUGAGGCCCUGACAUUCAGCUGGCCUUUGCAUGGCACGGAAAGGGGGUUCCAUGAUCGUUUGGGAAGAGCCCCUUGGGAGCCACAAGGAAAUCUUGGAGCUGGUUACUUGGCUAGAGUUCCGGGAUGUGCCAUCCAGAACAGAGGAGGGAAAAGGUUUCCUGCGAAAGGAUGGGGUCUUAACCCUAGGACCACACUUUAAGAAAGAUGAAAGGAGAGGUGCCUGUGUGGCUCAGUCGGUUGAGCGUCCGACUUCGGCUCAGGUCACGAUCUCGCAGUUGGUGAGUUCGAGCCCCGCGUCGGGCUCUGUG
Long non-coding RNA from Leopardus geoffroyi (Geoffroy's cat), 1376 nucleotides. RefSeq lists it as uncharacterized. Lineage: Eukaryota; Metazoa; Chordata; Mammalia; Carnivora; Felidae. The transcript is spliced from 3 exons. The record is from RefSeq and is a predicted model, not a curated record.